This 253-nucleotide ribosomal RNA is filed under the name uncultured bacterium. Its description in RNAcentral is "partial 16S ribosomal RNA". It matches the Rfam family "Bacterial small subunit ribosomal RNA", at positions 524 to 776 of the family's 1533-position model. The record is from RNAcentral.
UACGGGGGGGGCAAGCGUUGUUCGGAAUUACUGGGCGUAAAGGGCGCGUAGGCGGUUGGAUAAGUCAGCUGUGAAAACCACGGGCUUAACUCGUGGCCUGCAGUUGAGACUGUCUGGCUUGAGUGUGGGAGAGGAGAGUGGAAUUCCUGGUGUAGCGGUGAAAUGCGUAGAUAUUGGGAGGAACACCAGUGGCGAAGGCGGCUCACUGGACCGGAACUGACGCUGAGGCGCGAAAGCGUGGGGAGCAAACAGG